GCACAAGCGGUGGAGCAUGUGGUUAAUUCGAAGCAACGCGAAGAACCUUACCAGGUCUUGACAUCCCUGACAACCCGAGAGAGUCGGGCGGUUCCCCCUUCGGGGGACAGGGUGACAGGUGGUGCAUGGUUGUCGUCAGCUCGUGUCGUGAGAUGUUGGGUUAAGUCCCGCAACGAGCGCAACCCUCGACCUUAGUUGCCAGCAUUCAGUUGGGCACUCUAAGGUGACUGCCGGCUAAAAAGUCGGAGGAAGGUGGGAUGACGUCAAAUCAUCAUGCCCCUUAUGUUCUGGGCUACACACGUGCUACAAUGGCCGGUACAGACGGAGGCGAAGCCGCGAGGCGGAGCAAAUCCGAAAAAGCCGGUCUCAGUUCGGAUUGCAGGCUGCAAUUCGCCUGCAUGAAGUCGGAAUCGCUAGUAAUCGCAGGUCAGCAUACUGCGGUGAAUACGUUCCCGGGCCUU
This 461-nucleotide ribosomal RNA is filed under the name uncultured Eubacteriales bacterium. RNAcentral's name for it is "bacterial SSU rRNA". It matches the Rfam family "Bacterial small subunit ribosomal RNA", at positions 923 to 1382 of the family's 1533-position model. Lineage: Bacteria; Bacillati; Bacillota; Clostridia; Eubacteriales. The record is from RNAcentral.